This 562-nucleotide ribosomal RNA is filed under the name uncultured bacterium. RNAcentral's name for it is "bacterial SSU rRNA". It matches the Rfam family "Bacterial small subunit ribosomal RNA", at positions 338 to 916 of the family's 1533-position model. The record is from RNAcentral.
CCUACGGGAGGCAGCAGUGGGGAAUCUUGCGCAAUGGGCGAAAGCCUGACGCAGCCAUGCCGCGUGAAUGAUGAAGGUCUUAGGAUUGUAAAAUUCUUUCACCGGGGACGAUAAUGACGGUACCCGGAGAAGAAGCCCCGGCUAACUUCGUGCCAGCAGCCGCGGUAAUACGAAGGGGGCUAGCGUUGCUCGGAAUUACUGGGCGUAAAGGGAGCGUAGGCGGAUAGUUUAGUCAGAGGUGAAAGCCCAGGGCUCAACCUUGGAAUUGCCUUUGAUACUGGCUAUCUUGAGUACGGAAGAGGUAUGUGGAACUCCGAGUGUAGAGGUGAAAUUCGUAGAUAUUCGGAAGAACACCAGUGGCGAAGGCGACAUACUGGUCCGUUACUGACGCUGAGGCUCGAAAGCGUGGGGAGCAAACAGGAUUAGAUACCCUGGUAGUCCACGCUGUAAACGAUGAGUGCUAGUUGUCGGCAUGCAUGCAUGUCGGUGACGCAGCUAACGCAUUAAGCACUCCGCCUGGGGAGUACGGUCGCAAGNUUAAAACUCAAAUUGAAAUUGACGG